ACGUAGGGUGCGAGCGUUAAUCGGAAUUACUGGGCGUAAAGCGUGCGCAGGCGGUUCGUUGUGUCGGUGGUGAAAGCCCCGGGCUUAACCUGGGAAUGGCAUUUAGGACUGUGGAGCUCGAGUGCGGCAGAGGGAGGUGGAAUUCCACGUGUAGCAGUGAAAUGCGUAGAGAUGUGGAGGAACACCGAUGGCGAAGGCAGCCUCCUGGGCCGACACUGACGCUCAUGCACGAAAGCGUGGGGAGCAAACAGGA
This 253-nucleotide ribosomal RNA is filed under the name uncultured prokaryote. Its description in RNAcentral is "partial 16S ribosomal RNA". It matches the Rfam family "Bacterial small subunit ribosomal RNA", at positions 525 to 777 of the family's 1533-position model. The record is from RNAcentral.